UAAUACGAAGGGGGCUAGCGUUGUUCGGAAUUACUGGGCGUAAAGCGAACGUAGGCGGUGUUCCAUGUCAGAGGUGAAAGCCUGGGGCUCAACUCCAGAAUUGCCUUUGAAACGGGAACGCUUGAGUCCGAGAGAGGAUGGCGGAAUUCCUAGUGUAGAGGUGAAAUUCGUAGAUAUUAGGAAGAACACCGGUGGCGAAGGCGGCCAUCUGGCUCGGUACUGACGCUCAGGUUCGAAAGCGUGGGGAGCAAACAGG
This 256-nucleotide ribosomal RNA is filed under the name uncultured bacterium. RNAcentral's name for it is "partial 16S ribosomal RNA". It matches the Rfam family "Bacterial small subunit ribosomal RNA", at positions 521 to 776 of the family's 1533-position model. The record is from RNAcentral.